This 253-nucleotide ribosomal RNA is filed under the name uncultured bacterium. Its description in RNAcentral is "partial 16S ribosomal RNA". It matches the Rfam family "Bacterial small subunit ribosomal RNA", at positions 524 to 776 of the family's 1533-position model. The record is from RNAcentral.
UACGUAGGUGGCGAGCGUUGUCCGGAUUUACUGGGCGUAAAGAGCGCGCAGGCGGUCGUGCAAGUCGCGUGUGAAAGCCCCCGGCUCAACUGGGGAGGGUCACGCGAUACUGCUCGACUUGAAGGCAGGAGAGGGAAGUGGAAUUCCCGGUGUAGUGGUGAAAUGCGUAGAGAUGUGGAGGAACACCGAUGGCGAAGGCAGCCCCCUGGGCCGACACUGACGCUCAUGCACGAAAGCGUGGGGAGCAAACAGG